CCUUCGGGGUACUCGAGCGGCGAACGGGUGAGUAACACGUGAGUAACCUGCCCUAGGCUUUGGGAUAACCCUCGGAAACGGGGGCUAAUACCGGAUAUGACCUGCCACUGCAUGGUGGUGGGUGGAAAGUUUUUCGGCCUGGGAUGGGCUCGCGGCCUAUCAGCUUGUUGGUGGGGUGAUGGCCUACCAAGGCGACGACGGGUAGCCGGCCUGAGAGGGCGACCGGCCACACUGGGACUGAGACACGGCCCAGACUCCUACGGGAGGCAGCAGUGGGGAAUAUUGCACAAUGGGCGGAAGCCUGAUGCAGCGACGCCGCGUGAGGGAUGACGGCCUUCGGGUUGUAAACCUCUUUCAGCAGGGACGAAGCGUAAGUGACGGUACCUGCAGAAGAAGCGCCGGCCAACUACGUGCCAGCAGCCGCGGUAAGACGUAGGGCGCGAGCGUUGUCCGGAUUUAUUGGGCGUAAAGAGCUCGUAGGCGGCUUGUCGCGUCGACUGUGAAAACCCGCGGCUCAACCGCGGGCCUGCAGUCGAUACGGGCAGGCUAGAGUUCGGUAGGGGAGACUGGAAUUCCUGGUGUAGCGGUGAAAUGCGCAGAU
This 601-nucleotide ribosomal RNA is filed under the name Micromonospora sp. I07A-00518. RNAcentral describes it as "bacterial SSU rRNA". It matches the Rfam family "Bacterial small subunit ribosomal RNA", at positions 77 to 695 of the family's 1533-position model. Lineage: Bacteria; Bacillati; Actinomycetota; Actinomycetes; Micromonosporales; Micromonosporaceae. The record is from RNAcentral.